GAUGAACGCUGGCGGCGUGCCUAAUACAUGCAAGUCGAGCGAAUGGAUUAAGAGCUUGCUCUUAUGAAGUUAGCGGCGGACGGGUGAGUAACACGUGGGUAACCUGCCCAUAAGACUGGGAUAACUCCGGGAAACCGGGGCUAAUACCGGAUAACAUUUUGAACCGCAUGGUUCGAAAUUGAAAGGCGGCUUCGGCUGUCACUUAUGGAUGGACCCGCGUCGCAUUAGCUAGUUGGUGAGGUAACGGCUCACCAAGGCAACGAUGCGUAGCCGACCUGGGAGGGAGAUCGGCCACACGGGGACUGAGACACGGCCCAGACUCCUACGGGAGGCAGCAGUAGGGAAUCUUCCGCAAUGGACGAAAGUCUGACGGAGCAACGCCGCGUGAGUGAUGAAGGCUUUCGGGUCGUAAAACUCUGUUGUUAGGGAAGAACAAGUGCUAGUUGAAUAAGCUAGCACCUUGACGGUACCUAACCAGAAAGCCACGGCUAACUACGUGCCAGCCGCCGCGGUAA
RNAcentral lists this ribosomal RNA (515 nucleotides) under uncultured bacterium. RNAcentral describes it as "partial 16S ribosomal RNA". It matches the Rfam family "Bacterial small subunit ribosomal RNA", at positions 28 to 523 of the family's 1533-position model. The record is from RNAcentral.